UACGUAGGGGGCAAGCGUUGUCCGGAAUCAUUGGGCGUAAAGAGCGUGUAGGCGGCUCGGUAAGUCCGCUGUGAAAGUCCAGGGCUCAACCCUGGAAUGCCGGUGGAAACUGUCGGGCUAGAGUCCGGAAGAGGCGAGUGGAAUUCCUGGUGUAGCGGUGAAAUGCGCAGAUAUCAGGAGGAACACCAAUGGCGAAGGCAGCACUCUGGGACGUGACUGACGCUGAGACGCGAAAGCGUGGGGAGCAAACAGG
This 253-nucleotide ribosomal RNA is filed under the name uncultured bacterium. RNAcentral describes it as "partial 16S ribosomal RNA". It matches the Rfam family "Bacterial small subunit ribosomal RNA", at positions 524 to 776 of the family's 1533-position model. The record is from RNAcentral.